CAAGGGGCUAAGGGGAGGGGGACCCAGUGCCAGUCGCUUAAAAAUGCCCCUGUGGUAGUAAGGGGUGCCAGAGGCCGGGUCAAGUUAGUUGAGAAGCAGUGACACCCCCCACCAUGCCCCAAACAGGCUGACCCCAUCUCUAGGCCCUGAGGAGCCACACCUGGACCAGACUGCGGGACAGACUUCACUUGGAGCAGGAAGUGGAUCAGGUACAGGAAGAAAACAGCAGCCAAUGAAUUCUUCUAUGCUCGAGUUUAACUUCCAGCCAUGAAUUUCCCUGAGAGAGAAAAAACUGGGAAGGCCCUAAAGAUCGUUCCAAUGAAGGACACUGAGACCAGAGAAGUUUCCUUAUCCAAAUAAUGAAUGUGAGACAAAGAUGCUUCUAGUACAGAUGCUCCAAGACUUCAAGUCCUGCUGCUGAAAAUCCCCCUGGUCCAGAUGGAUAACAUGCAAGAAAAAGAUACUGGGGAAAGAGGCAGAGGAACAACCCAUGCACAGGCACUGGCUGGUGGAGGCCACCUACCACCCUAGCAUUAAAGAAGCAAAAACCCCAGAGAGGGCGCCUCCUGGAGACCAGAGGAGGGAGAGGGUAGGCAGCCCUGGAAGCAAAAUUGAGAAACAGAUGCCCAGAGAAGAAAGGGCUGAGCCAGAUCACACUGUGAAUUGGGAGUCAAGUCAGGACCAGCCUCCCCUUCACCCGCCCUUCCCAGAGCCUCCCAACAGCCUACCGAUCGAGGUUCCCCCAACCCAGCAACGUUUCCCGGAGACAUGGAGAAAGGGAGGGUAGCAGUGUGUUCUCCUGGGAGCAGUCCCCAAGUCACCUGCAGCCAGCACUGAAAGCCACCAGGUAAAAUUCUGACACCUCCUGGCUCAGUCACCUUCUUUAACAGAAGGGGAAAGAGUACAACAGGGAGGAGAGGGGUCUGGUGUGAAGUAACUUACCAACUGGCGACAGAACCAGGACUCCCAAAUGGCCUCCAUCAUCUCCAGUGGGAUCCAGUGUGAAGGAACCUUUCAUGGGCCCUAAGGAAAGGCUGCUUCCUGCUUUCACACACCUCUGAGGACAUAUGUCACCUGGCACCAAGGCCACCACAUUUGCCAUCAGCCAAAGCAGAGGGUCCUCUUCAGAGCCUGAGAGCUUGGCAGAGCAGGAGGAAUUGGGGAAGAGCUUUGCUCACCUGGAAGUUCUCACCCAAGUCAGGCCCAGAGAAGAACGUGAAUUAUCUAAAUGGUCAUUUAAUCAGUUACCACAUGGCAUUCCCUGUAGCCCACCAUCCUGUAGAAAGCCUUCAGCAAGAUCUAGGGACUCCUAAGUUAACAAGGUAUGGGGCACUGUCCUCAGGGAACUGGAAAUCUAACCAGGUCUGAUGCCCAGAAAAAUAACCCCCUCCCCUAGAAAGAGCAAGUCUGAGGAUAUGAUUUAUUACUCAACCAGUGUUCAUGUGGCAUCCACACUGCCUGACCCUGACUUAGGGACUGAGGACAGUUUCCAGGGCUCCUGCCCUUGCAGGUGGGCCUUGCAGUCCACAGGUAGAGGUGGUCACAAGUGAAAACUACAGCUCAAGAGGAGUAAAGGGAAAGAGUGGUCCCAGGAUGGGGAAGAAGGUGGGGCAGGGUGUCCUGAGCUCUAAGAAGCCAAGGACAGCAUCCAGAAGAGGUCAUUUGAGAAGAAACUGAGCACGCCAAGAGGAUAGAGUCAGGAGAGCAAGGGGGCACAGUCCAGCACCGGGCAAUGGAGGGCCCCUUCAGGAGUAUAAGCCCACGGAAAAUAUGAGCAUGUUUGCAUUUUGAAAAGUUACUUUGGGAAGAUGGGUAGGAAAAAAGGAGGAGGAUGGGAAGGGAGAGAGGUAGGAUCAAGUGUUUAAUGAAUAAAUAUCAAGUAUCAGGAUGCUGUUUGGGGAAUGUCACACAUAAAGAUGAGACAUAGGGUCAGAAAGGUAGACCAGACUGCUUGAUGAUUCCAAUUAUCAAACCAUCCAGAACAGGAAGAUGUACAGAAGGAGAAAAUGGUCUACCUAGGGCUGGGGUUGACUAAGAAGAGGACUUUCUUUCUUUCCCUAAUUCUUUCCUUUUUUCUUCUUUCUUUCUUUCUUUCUCUCUUGGGGGAUGAUGAAAUAUUCUAAAACAGAUUGUAGUGAUGGUCACACACCUUUGUGAUUAAAAAACAUUUAAGACCAAAUGCAGUGGCAUUCUAAUCCCAGUGACUGGGGAGGUGAAGCAGGAGGAUGGCAAAUUUGCGACUGGUCAGCAAUUUAGUGAGACCCUGUCUCAGGACAAAAAAAUGAAAGGGGCUGGGGAUGUAGCCCAGAGGUAAAGCACCCUUGGGUUCAAUCUCUAGUCCAAAAGGAAAAGAAAAGGAAGGCUGAGGUUUGGUCCCAACGGGCUCCAAUGGCAAGCCAUGGCCAGGAAACGCUGCUGAGUAGCUCCAGCAGUCCCUGGACAAGGCCAGCGGAGUGGAGCUCAGGUUCCCUCUAAUGCCCCUUCUCCUGUCCAGGGAGGCGUGCCCACCACCGGCCACCGAGCGGAGCAGUGCAGUGCCCUGUCCCCCAGCCUGAGGUGCAGUGCUGCAUCUCUGGUCAGUUGGGAGUCUGAGAUGAAGCACUGUAGCUCAGGAAGGGAGAAGUUGUUCUGCAGCCAUCGGCCUGGAAGCGGUAAGUGAAGUACCAGGAAGAACGGGCGUUCACAGACUGCAGACCCUCAGCAGCUUGCAGAGGUGGGGAGAUUCUACCAGUGUCACUGUGGGCUUUAUGAUUCCAAGCAGGCCCUGCCUCAGUGAACCCAAAUGUCCGUUUGUCGCACAAGGUGCUGGGUCACUCAGUGGAGAGUGUGUCUAGUAAUCUGCCUCACAUCCUCUUUCUGAGCCCACAGCAGACUGCUAAUUUGCCAAGGCAGCCAUUCUUGAAGUGUUUGGAUACAGCUUCAGAAUCCUGCUCAGCUGAGCCACUCUUAAUGAUUUGGAGCUGAAACCCAUUCAUCAUGUGUAGAUCAGACAAUUCCUAAAAACCUUUUCAGCCCUGGAGACCAGAAGUCCUGGGCUUUGAGUCAAGGUCUUUACUCUCUGAGCUCCUAAUCUUGGCUCUGGGCUGUUGCCUAAACCAUGCAGGCAUCUCAUAAAUGUGUGCACUCUCCCAGAGGCUUUGGACAAACAAUGAGCAGCAGAGGAAAGCCACUGGGCUGGCACAAGUUUAUUUAACCUCCCCAAAAAGCGUGGGAGAUGGACAGUGUCACUGGACCACUUUAUAGAGGAAAAAACUAAGGCUCCAUUAAGUGACUUGCCCAAGUGCACACAGCUUGUGCUGAACUGAGGUUGUACCCUAAUCUGUCUGCCUCCAGAUCCACCUUCUUACCCAUCAGUGUAAUUAUGGAAUCAGGACAGGGGAGCAGGAGAAGCCCACUUGUAUCGCCUUGGGUCACUUUAGCAAAAACAGACCAGAACACUUUCAUUAAUCCCAUGGAUUCCUUUCCCCUGCUCUCUGAUCUCAUUUAUCUCCCAACUAGACCCACUUUAUAAUGAAGUAAACCCAGGGAUCAGGGGUUAAGUGAUUUGCCGGAGGUCAUCAGUGAGGAAAUUACCAGAGACUGGGAACCCAAUCUGCCCAAUUGGUUUAGAUUCACCCCUCUGACUGGAGCCUCAGCAAUACAUGAGACCCAUGGACAUCACAGAGGCGGAGGAAGGGGGUUGAGGCUGGGAUCUGGGUUGCCAAAUGGUUCUGAUGGACAUCAUCAGUCUGGGCUUUGAUGAAAGGGAAGGUACUUUCCAGGGCACUUGAAGUUCCAGUCACUACUCUUCCCAGAGCAAUGAGCUGCAUCCUGCGAGACGUGGCACCCCACGCCGGCCGCUGCAGCUGUGGCUGAAUGCAGACGUAACUCCAGCUGGUCCGUAGGGAUGUGGCAGCCUUGGUACUGAAGGCUACUCUCUCCCACCUUGUCCUCACGGUCCAGUUUUCCCAGGAAUCCCUUGGAUGCUAAGAUGGGGAUUCCUGGAAAUACUGUUCUUGAGGUCACGGUUUAGCAGCUGGAUUCGCCUCCUUCCCACCCCAGCAGUGCCCCAUGGGAUGAGGGUCAAGGAGAAGGUCAUGCACUGGAGGUAAGAGGGCUUGUGAACCACGUUCUUGACCUUUAAGUUGCUUUUCUUUCCACUGUGUCCAUUUCGUAACAUCCCUGUGAGGCUGGAUGUGGGAACUUCAGCACUGUCGCACUCUGGAGAAGCUUGUCCCAAGUCACACAGCUGAGCAGUGGUUGAACCAGGACAUCAGGAGGCACUAGCUCCUUCGUGUCCCUCCCCACUCUCACCCCCUUCCCUGCAGGCUUUGUGAUAGGAACAACAGUAUCGUAUCCAUGUUACUGAGAAACUAAUACAUGCAUGUAAAUUUAUUUUAAAAAUUUAUUAAUUGGGUAAACUACAAACCAUAAGGCUUAGUUUGGUUUGAAAAGCAGCCUCAGAAAAAAAGGAAAUUUUUCAUCAGAAAAAAAAAAAAAAAAAAAAAAAAAAAGACUCAGGACGCCCUCUUGUGGUGCUUCUAC
This is a long non-coding RNA of Sciurus carolinensis (gray squirrel), 4524 nucleotides long. RefSeq lists it as uncharacterized. The transcript has 8 exons. Lineage: Eukaryota; Metazoa; Chordata; Mammalia; Rodentia; Sciuridae. The record is from RefSeq and is a predicted model, not a curated record.